Molecule: ribosomal RNA, 484 nt
Filed under: uncultured bacterium
Lineage: Bacteria
Description: partial 16S ribosomal RNA
Rfam family: Bacterial small subunit ribosomal RNA
Source: RNAcentral
AUUGAACGCUGGCGGCAUGCCUAACACAUGCAAGUCGAGCGGAUGAAGGGAGCUUGCUCCUGGAUUCAGCUGCGGACGGGUGAGUAAUUCCUAGGAAUCUGCCUUGUAGUUGGGGAUAACGUCCGGAAACGGGCGCUAAUACCGCAUACGUCCUGAGGGAGAAAGUGGGGGAUCUUCGGACCUCACGCUAUCAGAUGAGCCUAGGUCGGAUUAGCUAGUUGGUUGGGUAAAGGCCUACCAAGGCGACGAUCCGUAACUGGUCUGAGAGGAUGAUCAGUCACACUGGAACUGAGACACGGUCCAGACUCCUACGGGAGGCAGCAGUGGGGAAUAUUGGACAAUGGGCGAAAGCCUGAUCCAGCCAUGCCGCGUGUGUGAAGAAGGUCUUCGGAUUGUAAAGCACUUUAAGUUGGGAGGAAGGGCAGUAAGUUAAUACCUUGCUGUUUUGACGUUACCAACAGAAUAGGCACCGGCUAACUUCGUG